GACAGAGGGUGCAAACGUUGUUCGGAAUUACUGGGCGUAAAGCGUGUGUAGGCGGUCCUCUAAGUCGGGUGUGAAAUCCCCAGGCUUAACCUGGGAACUGCAUUCGAGACUGCAUUGCUAGAGUAUGGGAGAGGGAAGUGGAAUUUCAGGUGUAGCGGUGAAAUGCGUAGAUAUCUGAAGGAACAUCAGUGGCGAAAAGCGACUUCCUGGACCAAUACUGACGCUCAUGUGCGAAAGCGUGGGGAGCAAACAGG
RNAcentral lists this ribosomal RNA (254 nucleotides) under uncultured bacterium. RNAcentral describes it as "partial 16S ribosomal RNA". It matches the Rfam family "Bacterial small subunit ribosomal RNA", at positions 524 to 776 of the family's 1533-position model. The record is from RNAcentral.